CCUACGGGAGGCAGCAGUGGGGAAUUUUCCGCAAUGGGCGAAAGCCUGACGGAGCAAUACCGCGUGAGGGAAGAAUGCCUACGGGUUGUAAACCUCUUUUAUCAGGGAGGAACAAAAUGACGUGUACCUGAUGAAUAAGCAUCGGCUAACUCUGUGCCAGCAGCCGCGGUAAGACAGAGGAUGCAAGUGUUAUCCGGAAUUACUGGGCGUAAAGCGUCUGUAGGUUGUUGAACAAGUCAACUGUUAAAUCUUGAAGCUCAACUUCAAAAUCGCAGUCGAAACUGUUUGACUAGAGUAUAGUAGAGGUAAAGGGAAUUUCCAGUGGAGCGGUGAAAUGCGUAGAUAUUGGAAAGAACACCGAUGGCGAAAGCACUUUACUGGGCUAUUACUGACACUCAGAGACGACAGCUAGGUAGCAAAUGGGAUUAAGAUACCCCAGUAGUACCUAGCCGUAAACUAUCGGAUACUAGAAUGUUAGAACAGAUCGACCUGUGCAGUAUUAAAGCUAACGCGUUAAGUAUCCCGCCUGGGAAGUAUGCUCGCAAGAGUGAAAACUCAAAAGGAAUUAGACGG
This 573-nucleotide ribosomal RNA is filed under the name uncultured bacterium. Its description in RNAcentral is "bacterial SSU rRNA". It matches the Rfam family "Bacterial small subunit ribosomal RNA", at positions 338 to 916 of the family's 1533-position model. The record is from RNAcentral.